RNAcentral lists this long non-coding RNA (428 nucleotides) under Ananas comosus (pineapple). Its description in RNAcentral is "long non-coding RNA (ACOM_LNC038276)". Lineage: Eukaryota; Viridiplantae; Streptophyta; Magnoliopsida; Poales; Bromeliaceae. The record is from RNAcentral.
UCUUUUAGUUCCGACUAUUUUUGGUCCCCGAAAGCUCUAUCGAACUGAAAUCUCUAGCAGAUAGCAGUCGGAUUUUAUUUUUCACUUUCCGCGUGUCGGAAUGACAUGAAACUUUAAAUCUAGUCUCAUAAAAAUAAUUUCGACAUAUUCCCAGAUUUUCAUAAUUUUCUGACACUGAAUUUUUUGCUAAAAUAUCAGCCCCGUUUCUCACAGAAAAUUUUAAAUCUUCUGUUUCUGUUCCGAUUUCAGCACAAGUCGUUUCCGACUUAUGUUUUACUUCUUUAAGUCCAAUAAAAAUAGUAUCCCACACUAUUUUUAUUUAUAUUUAUUUUUAAAUUAAAAUUCGGUACAUUACAUUCUACACCCCUUAAAAAGAGUUUCGUCUGCGAAACUCAAACCACGCCUCAAUUUAGCUCCUCGAGCAAUUG